CAGCAGCCACGGUAAUACGAAGGGGGCUAGCGUUGUUCGGAAUCACUGGGCGUAAAGGGUGCGCAGGCUGGUUCUUAAGUCAGGGGUGAAAUCCCGAGGCUCAACCUCGGAACGGCCUUUGAUACUGGGGAUCUUGAGUCCGGAAGAGGUGAGUGGAACUGCGAGUGUAGAGGUGAAAUUCGUAGAUAUUCGCAAGAACACCGGUGGCGAAGGCGGCUCACUGGACCAUUUCUGACGCUGAUGCACGAAAGCUAGGGGAGCAAACAGGAUUAGAUACCCGCGUAGUCCCUGUCUCUUAUAA
RNAcentral lists this ribosomal RNA (301 nucleotides) under uncultured bacterium. Its description in RNAcentral is "partial 16S ribosomal RNA". It matches the Rfam family "Bacterial small subunit ribosomal RNA", at positions 509 to 809 of the family's 1533-position model. The record is from RNAcentral.